Nerophis lumbriciformis (worm pipefish) is the source of this 5506-nucleotide RNA transcript. It is a transcript of the gene named eukaryotic translation initiation factor 2D, with no coding region annotated. The record is from RefSeq and is a predicted model, not a curated record. NCBI's taxonomy places the organism in Eukaryota, Metazoa, Chordata, Actinopteri, Syngnathiformes, Syngnathidae.
AAGAAAGGAAACGCGGUGAUGUGGUUUCACGUCGGAAGUAAAUACACGGCGGACCAUUAUACCCAACGCGUAGCAGUUGGCAGUUUUCACUUGCAAUACUACUUAUUUUUCUAAAUUGAAAUUAUAUUACAAACUAUACUUUCAUCUAUUCAGAUUUAAAAUCACCGUUUUUGAAUUGUAUGAUAAAAUGUUUACCAAGCCGUUUCGCGUUAAAUCAAACACCGUAAUGAAGGCAUCGGAUAGGAGAAAGCUUAAAGCUGACAUAUCGGCAGCCUUUCCCUCCCUGUCUUCUGAUGAAUUAACUGAGGUGAUCCCCAACAAAGAGGAAUUAAAUGUUGUGAAGAUUUACGCACACAAGGGAGACACGGUGACAUUAUAUGUUCUUCAUAAAAAUCCACUGUUUUUUCAACUGGAGAAACACUUGUAUCCUACAGUCUAUAUGCUUUGGCGCUACCCUGAUGCUCUACCAACGUUCAGGACAUGGCCUCCUGUACUUCACAAGUUGAUUGGAGGAGCUGAUCUCAUGCUUCCAGGUGUGGUGCCGCCUUGUAGCGGACUCCCAGACUUAAAGCAGGGAGACUGCUGUGCUGUUACAAUUGUCAAUAACAGAGCUCCAGUUGCAGUUGGCACAGCGGCAGUUUCCAGUGCAGAAAUGGUCAGUUUGGGUAUGAAAGGGCGAGGAGUAUGCAUUUUGCAUACAUACAUGGAUCAUCUCUGGGCCUUUGGAGAAAAAUGUAGUCCCCCCGUUAUACCAGAUCCAGAGGGUAAACAACCUGUUGUGAAUGAUGAAGAAUGUGAGGAUGACGAGCAAAGAGAUGAAGAGGAGGAAGGCAAUGGAAGUGCAGAGCAGGAGCUGCGACAAAGCGAGCCACUUGUAGAUCAAACCUGCUCUGGUGUGGGCGAGCUGAGCCUUGCUGAGCAGGAGGAAGGAAGGAAGGAGUGGGAAAAAGCAAAUGAAGAAGGGGAAAAUAAUCAAGAUGAUCAUAAAUCACCACAAGAGGACAUGGACUCCUUGUUCCUGCAGUGUUUCCUCUGUGCUCUCAAAAGCAAGGUGAAGAAAUCGGAGCUCCCUCUGCUGACAAGCACAUUUCUCCGCAACCACAUGUUUUCCUGCUGCCCGAGUGGAAAACAACUAGAUAUUAAAAAAUCCAGUUAUAAAAAGCUGUCCAAGUUUCUGCAGGUUAUGCAGCAGCAGCACAGCAUUGUACGAGUGAAAGAAUUGACGAAGGGCGUGGAGAGUAUUGUAGAAGUGGACUGGAAAAACCCAGAAUUACGCUCCUUUUGUGUUCCUGAGGAAGCGGAAGUUGAAGCAAUUCCACUACAAAGCGGAGGAGAAGAAAUGUAUCAUCCUCCUGAAAUCACCAUUUUAUACUCUGUGUCAGCCCGAUUAGAGCCUCUUUUUCAGGAUGCAAAAAAAAGGAAAGGUGUGAUACUGCAGCCUGCAGAGGUGAGAAGUAUAGUCACUGACUAUGUGAAGAUGAAUGACUUGGUGAAUGAAAACAAUAAGAAUUAUGUUAGCAUCAACCCUACACUGUGUGACUGUGUGCUUGAAAAAUCAGAAUACCAGGAAAUAGAGUCUCUUAAGUGGGAGGACCUUUUCAGCAGGACACUCGGGAGAAUGCAGCAGUGCUAUCAAAUGGUGUUUCCUGGACAGAUACCCAUAAUAAAGAAAGGCCACGUUGAACCCAUAGAUAUCACUGUCGCUUCCCGAGGCUCCAAUAAAAAGGUUACCCUAAUAAAGAACCUGGAAGUAUAUGGUUUGGAUCCUACUGCUGUGGCCACUGCAUUACAGCACCGAGUUCAAGCCAGAUCAGUCCUACAGCCUGUUCCAGGGGCCAAAGACAAAGUCCUGGUCCAGAUUCAAGGCAACCAGAGUCAACAAGUUGGCCGUUUGCUCCUUGAUCAUUAUCAAAUUCCUGGCAAGUACAUCCAAGGGUUAGACAAAGCUGUUAAAUGUGGAAAGAAGAAGUAGCAUUUUAGCAGUCUACCCUUCACCUUGUGCAAAGCUUACACAGCUGCUCUAUUCUGUUAAGAAAGCUGUAGGUGUGAAAUGCACUGAGAGAUGAGAGAUGUGGGCGCAGCUGAGAGGCCUCGGAUUGGUAAAAAACUGGCCCAUCUAUAAAUAUUAAUCUUUACACUUGUUGGUAGAGUUAGCGCUCACAUUUAGAUUUAGACUUAGUUUCGAUAUUUAGGUUCAGAUUUAGAUGUAUCCUUUCUUUUUUUUUUGUCCUGUCCAGCUACUCAGGCAAAUCAUAUUGUUGAUGUAGAUGCCCAUAUCUGCUGUACAGAUUUACUUUUUCAAAAGAGAAGUGUCGGAUACUUCUCUUGUUGCCUUAUGUAUAUUUGAUUUUAUUAAUUGGAUUUAUUUAAUGUGUGGCGCAGUCGGACCGCAGAAGGAGGGUAUAGAAAGAAGAAGAAAAAAAGAAGCCAGAGGGGGAAAUAGCUGGGACAAGAAGGGGAUAAGACAGAGAGACAACAGCAAAACAACAUCAGCAAAUCUGAUAUGAAAAAUGAUAGCAAAGAACCAGUUACUGAAGUAGUUAGUAAUAACACAAAUAAGACAAUGAACAGCAUUGCACGACAAAUGUAAUAAGAAAAUACUAAUAUAAAUAUAGUGAUAAAAAUAAUCAUUACAUCAAUUAUCAACAAUACAAUUGUUUCAUAUGUAACAAUACAUAAAGUCAUGGCCAAAAAUAUAUUCUGUCAGAUAAUGCACCACUUCUCUCAGUAAAUUAUUGAAAUUACAAAUGCUUUGCUGCUCACGUGUUUCUUGUGUUUGCAUUGGAACAAAAAAAAACAAAAAAGCCAAAUCUGAUAUUAUUUUACACAGAACUCCCAAAAUGGACUGGACAAAAUUGUAAGCACCUUUUCAAAGUUGUAAGAAAUAGUUGUAUCCUAAGCAUGUGAUGCUCCUUUAAUUUGUAAUUAAUUUCACCUGAAGCAAGUAACGGGUGCUGGCAAUAUAGAAAUCACACUUGCAGCCAGUGAAGAAAUGAAGAAAAGUUGACUCAACCUUUGUGUUGAGUGUACCACACUGAGCAUGGAGAAAAGAAAGGAGAGCAAAUAACUCAGGACAUUUUGAGACCCAAGAUUGUGGAAAAGCAUGGACAAUCUCAAGGCUACAAGUCCAUCUCCAGAGAUCUAAAUGUUCCUGUGUCUACUGUGCGCAAUGUCAUCAAGAAGUUUAAACCCCAUGGCACUGUAGCUAACCUCCCUGGACGUGGACGGAAGAGAAAAAUUGAUGAAAGAGUGCAACGAAGGAUUGUUAGAAUUGUGGAUAAAGAACCUCGAUCCACUUCCAAACAAAUUAGAGCUGACCUGCAGACACAGGGUACAACAAUGUCAGCUCGCACUAUCUCUCGCCAUCUCAAUGAAAAGGGACGCUAUAGUAGGAGACCCAGGAGGACCCCACAGCUCACACAUAGACAUAAAAAAACAAGACUGGAGUUUGCAAAAACUUACCUGAGGAAGCCAAAAUCCUUCUGGGAGAACGUCAUGUGGACAGAUGAGACUAAAGUGGAGCUUUUUGGUAAAGCACAUCAUCACACUGUUUACAGAAAACAAAAUGAGGCCUUUCAAAGAAAACAACACCACCCCUACAGCCCUACAGUCAAACAUGGUGGCGGUUACUGAUGUCUUGGAUGUCUUCUGGGACCGGAUUCCUUGACUGUGUGCAUGGCAUCAUGAAAUCUGAGGACUCAUCUUAAUUUGUGAAGAUCGCUGUCCGUGGGUAUAUCUCAAAUAUAUUAAAGUACGCCCACAGCGCAGACAUGCUGCCUCCGCUCCAGACAACCCUGUGCGUAUAGCUUACGUCAUCACAACAUGGGUUUCGAGAGCACUGUUCUGGUGAUUAAAGUACAUCUCUUUCCGGCCAAAUUUUCAGUGCAUAAUUAUUCAAUAGUGCGCAAGUAAUAAACUAUAUAUAGCCAUUCAUACUGUAACUACCUGCUGGUGUUAAUGUGUAUGUUAGUGUGUUAUGAUGGUCAUUUUUCCCAUGGUCUGUGAACACACCGUGUCGGUGGAGAAUGAAGAAGUGGUGUCAUGUGUGUCUAGGAGUGAAGCACGGAGGCAGACGUGUGUGCAUGGAGGAAAUACUUGUUGGAAUUGGGCCCGUUGUUAGCAUCAAAUUGGCAAUAAAAGCUAAAAAGAAAGUAAUACUUUUUCUUCUGCACGCUACAAUACAUUAUAUUACUUUAUUUUGUUAGGUGUGGCGGCUAAUAUGCAUAUUAAGGAGAAACUCUAAAUGUAGUUCAACCGGAUGUAUACCGUAGUGCCUUUAUUUUGAAGCCGGAAAAGUGUGUGAUUGUUUUGAGAAUGUGUCUUGACAUGUUUUAAUGUCUGAUCGACUGUUUGCUUUAGUUUAAUUUUGGCAAAUGUUUGAAUGAAUUAGAAUUGUUUGGCAGCCUUGUGAUUCACUUUACACUUUUUUUCCGCGUGUAACAUACGCUCUCUGGUGACUACAGCAUCAUGUCAGCCUACAGCAUCCUCACGUCAGCCUACAGCACUUGCAAAAAAUAAUUUGAUCUGUGUCACUUGAGGGCAGAAGAAUUUGAUUUGGUGUGCAGUGUAAACGGGGCGAGAGACAUACAGAAAGUUUUGAACACUUUGUAGAGUGGCAGGCAGCAUCUGUGGACUGUGUGAAACCUUCUUAAAACAAUGUCCAAGUGUCCCUAGCUGAUGCAGCUACCUCUCCUCACAUGAAUCUUUACUCCAGUGUUACUGUUGACUUCAGUGUUUACAGUAGAAUCAGAAUCAGAAAUACUUGAAUAAUCCCCGAAGGGAAAUUAGGAUGUUCAGCACAAUCUCAUUCAACAUCAGACAAACAUUACAGGGAGACAGAACAGGAUCGCUGACGGGUCUGCCAUCUUCCGGCGCCCCUUACAAAAAAGGUGAGAAACAGGUAAACGCUGGGGAAGGGGGGAUGAGAAAAAAAAAAAAUCAGUCUAAGCCUGGGCCCCUGGAGAGGGGAUCCAGACUGAGGCCAAGGGGAAAAAAAGAACACAAAGGACAUUAAAAGAGCAGAUAUGAUGCAACCAGCCACUUCUACACACAGCCACAAAAGUAAAACAACAACAAAAAGCAUAUACACUGUGGUGGCCUCUGCGGUGUUCCACGCCAUCGUCUGCUGGGGUGGGGGGAGCAUGGCCAGAGACAGGAGCAGACCCAACAAAGCAACCAAGAGAGCCGACUCCACCCUCGGCCACACUAACUCUCGGCCAGUGUCCAGUCCGCAUGGAUGAGCGAGGUUACGUCCAAGGAGACCGAGGUGUCCGAUACCUGCUCAUUCAGCCAAGACACUGUGAAGCUUGUCCAUCCCGACGCUCAGCGCCAGCUCCGCAGCCCUGUCUCUUCAUCCGCAUCUUUUCCAGUCUCUCCAAACAAACUCUGGUGUGGCAGAGACCCAGCAGCUGGUCUCCAUGGCCAAAAGGCAGAUCCAGCAGUUCACAAAGAAGGGAAUGGCGCUGCUUUCUGCUUGCUCGCGUCAACGUCGUCACUUCUUGUCUGC